UACGAAGGGGGCUAGCGUUGUUCGGAUUUACUGGGCGUAAAGCGCACGUAGGCGGAUUGUUAAGUGAGAGGUGAAAUCCCGGAGCUCAACUCCGGAACUGCCUUUCAUACUGGCAAUCUAGAGUCCGGAAGAGGUGAGUGGAACUCCUAGUGUAGAGGUGGAAUUCGUAGAUAUUAGGAAGAACACCAGUGGCGAAGGCGGCUCACUGGUCCGGUACUGACGCUGAGGUGCGAAAGCGUGGGGAGCAACAGGAUUAAG
Molecule: ribosomal RNA, 258 nt
Filed under: uncultured bacterium
Lineage: Bacteria
Description: partial 16S ribosomal RNA
Rfam family: Bacterial small subunit ribosomal RNA
Source: RNAcentral